ACUUAACUAAAUAUAGUGAUUAAUGAUUAUCUUUGUUUUGUACUAUUGCAGGCCCCUCCUCGCCAAAAAGAAAAAGAGGUCGUACUCAAAUGCCAAGUGUUCAUGUUAGAAAAGAGCGUAAAAUAAUCACUCUAAAUGAGUUUAAUCAACCCAUUGGUCCUACUAAAGAGGUUGUAAAAGAGUUGGGUAGCUUCCUCGGCACAUUGGCAAGGAGUGGGACUUUUGUCCUCUUAAUGUAGUUAAUUGGAGGAAACUAGACACAAAAGAUGAUAUGUGGAAAUAUAUCAAUGAAAAAUAUGACAUUCCUGACGAGGCAAAAAAUGGACUUUUGAAUCAGUUUGUAGUGCUUGGAGAAAGUAUAAGAGUCAAUUAAGACAACCCACUUCACAGCCUAUGAGAAUGAUGAGCUUCGAAUGGAGAAUAGACCAGUAGAUGUUCCAGAAUCUCACUUUAAGGAUCUUUUUAACUAUUGGAACUCCGAUCCUCACAAGAAAAUGUCCGAAACCAAUACAUAGAAUCGAAAUAAGUUGAAGUGUCCACACACAGCUGGCAGAACACCUUUUGGUCUAAUUCGCGAGGAAAAAAAGAAGGAAAUCUCUGAUACUUCAGAUACUGUAUCAAGUAAGGACAUGUUUGUGGCUACAAGAAAAAGAAAACUUGGCCGAGUAUACAAAAGCUCAUAUGACAAUACGAUUAGUAAAAUUGCUGAAAUAGAGAGAAUACAAUCUACUCAGGAAAGUGAAGAUGUCAGUCAUUCAAUUGAUGCUUUUGCAUCAGUCAUGGGACCUGAACAUCCAAGGUCGCGUGAGAUUGUAUGGACGAGGGGUUACCAAGACUGUGUUAAAAGGGCAAAAAGGGAAUCUUGGAUCUUCUGAUGAGAGGAUGCAACAAAAAAUGGAGGAAAUGGAAGAGAGGAUGCAACAAAGAAUGCAUGAAAAGUUGAACGAAUAAAAGGAUGCUAUGGAACAAAAUAUUACAAUGAACAUCAUCGCACAACUUCAGCAUCUGAACCCAGAUUUGCGACUUGAUCCUGACAUGUUAAGGUUCAGUGAUCGUUCACCUGUAGAUGCUUCCUCUGCACAACAAGCUGCUAUUCAACUAAACAGUCGACCAUCUGUUGGUAGUAACAAUCAAGGUGGAGUAGAUCAAGAAAUGAAUGAUGAAGACGAUGAAGAACUAGACCUUACUUGAAAUGAAUUUUGUAUUUUUAUAGAUGAAUUUUCUAGGAAUCUUUUGUUACCAACAUUUUUGAAACUUAUUUACUCUUAUGAAAUGUACUAAACUUAUGCACUCAUGGGGUAGAACAUUUGCUUUAUGGAUAA
Nicotiana tabacum (common tobacco) is the source of this 1322-nucleotide non-coding RNA. Lineage: Eukaryota; Viridiplantae; Streptophyta; Magnoliopsida; Solanales; Solanaceae. The record is from RefSeq and is a predicted model, not a curated record.